CAAUAGCGUAUAUUAAAGCUGUUGCGGUUAAAAAGCUCGUAGUUGGAUUUCUGUCAAGGACAACUGGUCCGCCCUCCGGGUGAGCACAUAGUUUGGUCUUGACAUCUUGCUGGAAGCUGUUGCUGCACUUGGCUGUGUGGCGCAGUGUUCAGCACUUUCACUUUGAGGAAAUUGGAGUGUUUCAAGCAGGCACAUGCCUUUGGACACAGUAGCAUGGAAUAAUUAGAUUGGGCUUUUGCUCCAAUUUGUCGGUUUCUGGAGCUGAGGUGAGUAUUAAUGGGGAUUGUUGGGGGCAUCCGAAUUUAGCCGUCAGAGGUGAUAUUCUUGGAUCUGCUAAAGACGGACAACUGCGAAAGCGUUUGCCCAGGAUGUUUUCAUUGA
Molecule: ribosomal RNA, 381 nt
Filed under: uncultured eukaryote
Lineage: Eukaryota
Description: partial 18S ribosomal RNA
Rfam family: Eukaryotic small subunit ribosomal RNA
Source: RNAcentral